CAGCGCCGCGGUAAUACGAAGGGGGCUAGCGUUGUUCGGAUUUACUGGGCGUAAAGCGCACGCAGGCGGACCCUUAAGUCAGAGGUGAAAUCCCAAGGCUCAACCUUGGAACUGCCUUUGAUACUGGGGAUCUCGAGUUCGGGAGAGGUGAGUGGAACUGCGAGUGUAGAGGUGAAAUUCGUAGAUAUUCGCAAGAACACCAGCGGCGAAGGCGGCUCACUGGCCCGAUACUGACGCUGAGGUGCGAAAGCGUGGGGAGCAAACAGGAUUAGAUACCCCAGUAGUCCCUGUCUCUUAUACA
Molecule: ribosomal RNA, 301 nt
Filed under: uncultured bacterium
Lineage: Bacteria
Description: partial 16S ribosomal RNA
Rfam family: Bacterial small subunit ribosomal RNA
Source: RNAcentral